This 271-nucleotide ribosomal RNA is filed under the name uncultured archaeon. RNAcentral's name for it is "partial 16S ribosomal RNA". It matches the Rfam family "Archaeal small subunit ribosomal RNA", at positions 477 to 747 of the family's 1478-position model. The record is from RNAcentral.
CGGCAGCCCGAGUGGUGAUCACUAUUAUUGGGUCUAAAGGGUCCGUAGCCGGUUUGAUCAGUCUUUUGGGAAAUCUGACAGCUUAACUGUUAGGCUUCCAAAGGAUACUGUCAGACUUGGGACCGGGAGAGGUAAGAGGUACUACAGGGGUAGGAGUGAAAUCUUGUAAUCCCUGUGGGACCACCAGUGGCGAAGGCGUCUUACCAGAACGGGUCCGACGGUGAGGGGCGAAAGCUGGGGGCACGAACCGGAUUAGAUACCCGAGUAGUCC